CAAAUCAUCAUGGCCCUUAUGUCCUGGGCUACACACGUGCUACAAUGGCCUGUACAAAGCGAUGCGAAACAGUGAUGUGAAGCAAAACGCAUAAAGCAGGUCUCAGUCCAGAUUGAAGUCUGAAACUCGACUUCAUGAAGUUGGAAUCGCUAGUAAUCGUAUAUCAGAAUGAUACGGUGAAUACGUUCUCGGGCCUUGUACACACCGCCCGUCACACCACCCGAGUUGAGGAUACCCGAAGCUAUUAUUCUAACCCGCAAGGGAGGAAGGUAUCUAAGGUAUGUUUAGUGAGGGGGGUGAAGUCGUAACAAGGUAGCCGUACUGGAAAGUGUGGCUGGAUCACCUCCUUU
Molecule: ribosomal RNA, 350 nt
Filed under: Borrelia hermsii
Lineage: Bacteria; Pseudomonadati; Spirochaetota; Spirochaetia; Spirochaetales; Borreliaceae
Description: bacterial SSU rRNA
Rfam family: Bacterial small subunit ribosomal RNA
Source: RNAcentral